RNAcentral lists this small RNA (169 nucleotides) under Pongo abelii (Sumatran orangutan). RNAcentral's name for it is "processed transcript". Lineage: Eukaryota; Metazoa; Chordata; Mammalia; Primates; Hominidae. The record is from RNAcentral.
GGAUUGUCCUCAGGCUUGGCAACAUUGCUCGGUUGGAACUUAAUUACUGCAUCCCCAUGGGAGUACAGACAGGCGACAGAUACAAAGGCAGAGUUCAAAUCAGCAAUUCCCCAUUGACAAAGUAUUAAGAAACUUUCACGGAAUAAAUGAUGAGAAGUGGAGUUGUCAC